This 1001-nucleotide long non-coding RNA is filed under the name Oncorhynchus kisutch (coho salmon). Its description in RNAcentral is "lncRNA (ENSOKIG00005032888.1)". The record is from RNAcentral. Lineage: Eukaryota; Metazoa; Chordata; Actinopteri; Salmoniformes; Salmonidae.
GCUGAUGCUCUGAGUAGGCUCUGAGUAAUCAUCAUUCAGGAAGAAGAAAAUUACCAGUUUUUGAUGAUCGAUGUGUUGGAUGAUGCACCGGUGAACACAGCACAAAUCAGGGAAUGGACUUCAAAGGAUGUGACAUUAUCACAAGUGCAUGAAUCUUUCCUGAAAGGAUGGCCUACAGUGACCGAGCCUCAGAUCAUGCCUUACUACACUCACUGCUUGGCAUUGAGUGUUCGAGGUGGAUGUGUUCUGUGGGGUUCAAGAGUAGUUAUCCCACCACAAGGGCGGGGUAUGCUACUGAAGUUGUUGCAUCUGUCGCAUCCAGGUAUGUUGAGAAUGAAAGAACUAGCGAGGACAUACGUCUGGUGGCCAAAGAUGGACCACGAUGUGGAAAAUGAGGUUAGUCAGUGUGCAGAUUGUCAGAGUAACAGGAAGUCACCCCCCACCGUGCCAUUACAUCCAUGGGAAUGUAAUUCCCGGAUUCCAGCUACCAUUGAGGAUUGCUCAGGACCAGUAUCUUAUACUGUGAUCAUCGGAAGUGGACAAAGACUAAGGAGACACAUGGAUCAGAUCCGAGCUAGAAUUCCAGUUCCAUCCGGGGAUCUGUAUCAAUGCUUAAACAAGCAGGACAUUGGACAUUGGAAUGUUCCCCAGAGUUGCAGUUGGACAAAUCACCUGAGACCAACAAUGCUCAACUUCCUGAGACCACCAGUCGGGGACAACCUCCUCCUGUGAAGUCUCCACAAAAGGACUUUGUUUCACCAUCAAGGGGUGAGACGCUCUAUUAGAGAGAGACGUCCACCAGACUUUUUCAGAUACUAAAGGAGAUGUUUGAAAAAAUGUAAAUAUGAAAAUAACAUAGCUCAGAAAGGAAUUAAGUUGGGUUAUUAGCUUUAAAAGGGGGGAAUGUGGUAACAUGGUAUAUUUAUGUUUACUAAUAGAUGGCAGUAUUGACUCAAGACAGGGGGUUUGCUUUCCGCUGUCCAUAGCCAUUUCCAAUGUCU